CAAACACUUUGGAGCAGAGGCCCUGCAACUGCAGGAAAUGUGCUCCUGUGGGAAGGUGCCGUCCUCGGUGUGCGUGGGGGCAGGAGGGAUGCUCAGCCCUGGGGAGGCAAUGCUCUAUCGUGGGUUCUGCAGCAGAGAAGGGGCUCAAGACAGACACCGUAAUCCCCGUGUGAAGUGUAAGUAAAGAAGCUGUUGGAGUACUCUCUCCUCAAGCUGGGAGCGUGCAGCCGGGCCCUUAUAGGGAGAGGCAAAGCAGAUCCAUCAGCGCUCCCGUUGGGCAGAUGAGCAGUGGCAGUCGCACGGCAUUGCAGAGCGGUGCCAGGGAGAACGUGGCUGCGUGUCCCGCUGGACAGGUCCAGCGCUGUGGUACCGAGUCCUGGUGCAGCUGUGAUCCAGUUUCAGAAAGUGGGUGAGGAGAUGCUGCCCUUCAUGGCACGCUGCAGAAGAUCGAUGUGUUUUUGAAGUGAAACUCAGAGUUUUUUACCCGGAAACAACGCGGACGCCUGCUCUGAAUGCUAAGCAGCUCCUUGGGAGGACGUCCCCCAGCACAAAGGGCAGAGCGGUGCUCAGCCCCCUCCUUCAGCCCCGCGCUGGGAGAGCCACGGACCGCAUCGAGGCACCCCUGCAGGGCCUCCUGCACAGUGAAUGGAAGUGCUUUUCACCUCCUUUCAUCUGAAAAACCACCCGGGAGAACAGAGAACAGCUCCCCAGUGGCAGAGAGGGGGGCGCAGGCUCACAGCAGGUGACCCAGCUCACAGCCCGGCGCGGGGACAGGACGGACCUGGCACACAGCGCUGCUCCUUUGCCACCGUAUGGUGAUGGGCCACGAGGGCAGAAGUCACCGAGACCGAUGGUGGCUCCCUGGGAACCGCAGUAAUCUCAUUCCGGGAGCAAAUCACAUUCCCAGCAGCCAAGGACAUGUUAGGUCUUAAUAAAAAUGGACCCGGCUGCUGUGCCCUGUCUCGAUGUGCACCCGAACGGCCCCAGGGGUCAGAGCUGUUUGUUUGCAGUUUCCUAGGAG
This 1021-nucleotide long non-coding RNA is filed under the name Gallus gallus (chicken). RNAcentral's name for it is "lncRNA (ENSGALG00010017192.1)". The record is from RNAcentral. Lineage: Eukaryota; Metazoa; Chordata; Aves; Galliformes; Phasianidae.